CAGUCGCCGCGGGAAUACGGAGGGUGCAAGCGUUAAUCGGAAUUACUGGGCGUAAAGCGCACGCAGGCGGUUUGUUAAGUCAGAUGUGAAAUCCCCGAGCUUAACUUGGGAACUGCAUUUGAAACUGGCAAGCUAGAGUCUUGUAGAGGGGGGUAGAAUUCCAGGUGUAGCGGUGAAAUGCGUAGAGAUCUGGAGGAAUACCGGUGGCGAAGGCGGCCCCCUGGACAAAGACUGACGCUCAGGUGCGAAAGCGUGGGGAGCAAGCAGGAUUAGAUACCCCAGUAGUCCCUGUCUCUUAUAC
RNAcentral lists this ribosomal RNA (301 nucleotides) under uncultured bacterium. RNAcentral's name for it is "partial 16S ribosomal RNA". It matches the Rfam family "Bacterial small subunit ribosomal RNA", at positions 509 to 807 of the family's 1533-position model. The record is from RNAcentral.